GACGUAGGGUGCGAGCGUUGUCCGGAUUUAUUGGGCGUAAAGAGCUCGUAGGCGGCUCGUCGCGUCGACCGUGAAAACCCGCAGCUUAACUGCGGGCUUGCGGUUGAUACGGGCGGGCUAGAGUUCGGUAGGGGAGACUGGAAUUCCUGGUGUAGCGGUGAAAUGCGCAGAUAUCAGGAGGAACACCAGUGGCGAAGGCGGCUCACUGGUCCGGUACUGACGCUGAGGUGCGAAAGCGUGGGGAGCAAACAGG
RNAcentral lists this ribosomal RNA (253 nucleotides) under uncultured bacterium. RNAcentral's name for it is "partial 16S ribosomal RNA". It matches the Rfam family "Bacterial small subunit ribosomal RNA", at positions 524 to 776 of the family's 1533-position model. The record is from RNAcentral.